This 76-nucleotide transfer RNA is filed under the name Saccharothrix sp. ALI-22-I. RNAcentral's name for it is "tRNA-Gln". It matches the Rfam family "tRNA". Rfam says of the family: Transfer RNA (tRNA) molecules are approximately 80 nucleotides in length. Their secondary structure includes four short double-helical elements and three loops (D, anti-codon, and T loops). Further hydrogen bonds mediate the characteristic L-shaped molecular structure. tRNAs have two regions of fundamental functional importance: the anti-codon, which is responsible for specific mRNA codon recognition, and the 3' end, to which the tRNAs corresponding amino acid is attached (by aminoacyl-tRNA synthetases). tRNAs cope with the degeneracy of the genetic code in two manners: having more than one tRNA (with a specific anti-codon) for a particular amino acid; and 'wobble' base-pairing, i.e. permitting non-standard base-pairing at the 3rd anti-codon position. The record is from RNAcentral. Lineage: Bacteria; Bacillati; Actinomycetota; Actinomycetes; Pseudonocardiales; Pseudonocardiaceae.
UCCCGGUUGGUGUAGUCGGCAGCACGGCGGAUUUUGGAUCCGUCCAGCCCAGGUUCGAACCCUGGACCGGGAGCCG